UGCUCAGUCGGUAGAGCAUGAGACUUUUAAUCUCAGAGUCAUGGGUUCAAGUCCUACACUGGGCAAAA
Podarcis lilfordi (Lilford's wall lizard) is the source of this 68-nucleotide non-coding RNA. The record is from the annotation of a GenBank genome assembly. NCBI's taxonomy places the organism in Eukaryota, Metazoa, Chordata, Lepidosauria, Squamata, Lacertidae.